Molecule: long non-coding RNA, 466 nt
Organism: Dermacentor andersoni
Lineage: Eukaryota; Metazoa; Arthropoda; Arachnida; Ixodida; Ixodidae
Source: RefSeq, a predicted model, not a curated record
GUGCCGAAGACCAGGCACACACACACCGAUCCUUGCGCUCAGCAGCAGCAGCAGCAGCAGCAGUCGGAGCCUCAGCGACCCAGCAAUCAUGAUCAAGCUCCUGAUCCUCCUCGCCGUACUGGCCCUCUUCGCCGUCUCCUACACUACUGCAGCGCCGCAGUACCUUCUCCCGUACGCCUACCCGUACCACUAUGGCUACUACGGCGCCUACUACCCGCACGCCUACUACUACGGGCGCUGAGCCAGCAUCGAAGCGAGGGUAGCGACAGCUCGCGGCGACUUCCUCGAAAGCAACUGAGACUUCUUAACACACUCCUUCACUGCUAUGGGCAUUUAUCGUGAUCACCACCAAGCCGCACUAAGUCACUUCUGCUGUCCUGCGAACUCCAAUGAAGCCCGCUGUUUUAACAUCGACUCUUCGUCAAUCUUGGAUCUUGGUUUGGAAUUAAAACAGUUCUAACCAGAC